UACGUAGGGGGCAAGCGUUAUCCGGAUUUACUGGGUGUAAAGGGAGCGUAGACGGUUAUGUAAGUCUGGAGUGAAAGCCCGGGGCCCAACCCCGGGACUGCUUUGGAAACUGCCCUGCUGGAGUGCCGGAGGGGCAGGCGGAAUUCCUAGUGUAGCGGUGAAAUGCGUAGAUAUUAGGAGGAACACCAGUGGCGAAGGCGGCCUGCUGGACGGUGACUGACGCUGAGGCUCGAAAGCGUGGGGAGCAAACAGG
RNAcentral lists this ribosomal RNA (253 nucleotides) under uncultured Eubacteriales bacterium. RNAcentral's name for it is "uncultured Clostridiales bacterium partial 16S ribosomal RNA". It matches the Rfam family "Bacterial small subunit ribosomal RNA", at positions 524 to 776 of the family's 1533-position model. Lineage: Bacteria; Bacillati; Bacillota; Clostridia; Eubacteriales. The record is from RNAcentral.